CUAACCAUGCAGUCGAGCGGCAGCGACACAUUGAACCUUCGGGGGAUUUGUUGGGCGGCGAGCGGCGGACGGGUGAGUAAUGCCUGGGAAAUUGCCCUGAUGUGGGGGAUAACCAUUGGAAACGAUGGCUAAUACCGCAUGAUAGCUUCGGCUCAAAGAGGGGGACCUUCGGGCCUCUCGCGUCAGGAUAUGCCCAGGUGGGAUUAGCUAGUUGGUGAGGUAAGGGCUCACCAAGGCGACGAUCCCUAGCUGGUCUGAGAGGAUGAUCAGCCACACUGGAACUGAGACACGGUCCAGACUCCUACGGGAGGCAGCAGUGGGGAAUAUUGCACAAUGGGCGCAAGCCUGAUGCAGCCAUGCCGCGUGUAUGAAGAAGGCCUUCGGGUUGUAAAGUACUUUCAGCAGUGAGGAAGGAGAUAUCGUUAAUAGCGGUAUCUUUUGACGUUAGCUGCAGAAGAAGCACCGGCUAACUCCGUGCCAGCAGCCGCGGUAAUACGGAGGGUGCGAGCGUUAAUCGGAAUUACUGGGCGUAAAGCGCAUGCAGGUGGUUUGUUAAGUCAGAUGUGAAAGCCCGGGGCUCAACCUCGGAAUUGCAUUUGAAACUGGCAGGCUAGAGUACUGUAGAGGGGGGUAGAAUUUCAGGUGUAGCGGUGAAAUGCGUAGAGAUCUGAAGGAAUACCGGUGGCGAAGGCGGCCCCCUGGACAGAUACUGACACUCAGAUGCGAAAGCGUGGGGGAGCAAACAGGAUUAGAUACCCUGGGUAGUCCACGCCGUAAACGAUGUCUACUUGGAGGUUGUGGGCCUUGAGCCGUGGCUUUCGGGAGCUAACGCGUUAAGUAGACCGCCUGGGGGAGUACGGGUCGCAAGGAUUAAAACUCAAAGGAAAUUGACGGG
Molecule: ribosomal RNA, 895 nt
Filed under: uncultured bacterium
Lineage: Bacteria
Description: bacterial SSU rRNA
Rfam family: Bacterial small subunit ribosomal RNA
Source: RNAcentral